RNAcentral lists this ribosomal RNA (465 nucleotides) under uncultured bacterium. RNAcentral's name for it is "partial 16S ribosomal RNA". It matches the Rfam family "Bacterial small subunit ribosomal RNA", at positions 28 to 507 of the family's 1533-position model. The record is from RNAcentral.
GACGAACGCUGGCGGCGUGCUUAACACAUGCAAGUCGAACGGAGAGGCCCUGCUUGCAGGGUACUCGAGUGGCGAACGGGUGAGUAACACGUGGGUGAUCUGCCCUGCACUUCGGGAUAAGCCUGGGAAACUGGGUCUAAUACCGGAUAGGAGCCAUUUUUAGUGUGAUGGUUGGAAAGUUUUUUCGGUGUAGGAUGAGCUCGCGGCCAAUCAGCUUGUUGGUGGGGUAAUGGCUUACCAAGGCGGCGACGGGUAGCCGGCCUGAGAGGGUGGACGGCCACAUUGGGACUGAGAUACGGCCCAGACUCCUACGGGAGGCAGCAGUGGGGAAUAUUGCACAAUGGGCGCAAGCCUGAUGCAGCGACGCCGCGUGGGGGAUGACGGCCUUCGGGUUGUAAACUCCUUUCGCUAGGGACGAAGCUUUUUGUGACGGUACCUAGAUAAGAAGCACCGGCUAACUACGUG